This 253-nucleotide ribosomal RNA is filed under the name uncultured bacterium. RNAcentral describes it as "partial 16S ribosomal RNA". It matches the Rfam family "Bacterial small subunit ribosomal RNA", at positions 524 to 776 of the family's 1533-position model. The record is from RNAcentral.
UACGUAGGUGGCAAGCGUUGUCCGGAUUUACUGGGCGUAAAGCGCGCGCAGGCGGAUUGGUCAGUCCGGGGUGAAAUCUCACGGCUCAACUGUGAGCGGUCCCCGGAUACUGCCAGUCUCGAGGUGUCUAGAGGAGAGCGGAAUUCCCGGUGUAGUGGUGGAAUGCGUAGAUAUCAGGAGGAACACCGGUGGCGAAGGCGGGUCUCUGGGCCGAUACUGACGCUGAGGAGCGAAAGCGUGGGGAGCGAACAGG